Molecule: long non-coding RNA, 486 nt
Filed under: Betta splendens (Siamese fighting fish)
Lineage: Eukaryota; Metazoa; Chordata; Actinopteri; Anabantiformes; Osphronemidae
Description: lncRNA (ENSBSLG00000004833.1)
Source: RNAcentral
CUGUGGGGAACAGCUGAUCGUUAUCGCCCUUCCAGCGGCGACAGACAGGAAGCGGUGGAUCUAGCUCGCUGUAGGAGCCACAUCCCAGUUACCUACAUGCAAGGAGGCUGUCAAACAGAGAAAUCACUGCAGACUGUUGGUACACGGACAUCUGCUGCCCAGCUCAGGAGUAAAGUACCUUUUUGUUUUGAUGAGGUGAUGGUGAGGACAGCCACAGCUUCCAUCUGGUAGAGGACUGCUUCCGCUCAGUCUUCCAAAUAGUGAUGAGAACAAGGAUCACCACAUCUCCCUGUUUACCCUACUUUCAUGCAUUUCGUCUGCAGGGCCCUGCAAAGGUUUCUGUUCCAAACUCCCAGACUUCUUAAUUAACUCAGUAACCUAUACAUUGCACAUUGGAGUGUGAAGGUAACAGUUUGUUCUAGCUUUGGAGUAGUGGUGCAUUUUUUUGGUUUACAAUAAAGUUGGCUUUAACUAUUAUGUAUUUCA